UAGCGAAGAGGAUUAGAUACCCUCGUAGUCCCAGCCGUAAACGGUGCACACUUGCUGUGGGCGGAUUCGACCCCGUCCGUGGCGAAGCUAACGCGAUAAGUGUGCCGCCUGGGGAGUACGGUCGCAAGAUUAAAACUCAAAGAAAUUGACGGGGGCCUGCACAAGCGGUGGAGUAUGUGGCUUAAUUCGAUGCAACGCGAAGAACCUUACCUGGCCUUGACAUGUAGUGGCCCGGGUGCGAAAUCACCCUUUUCUUCGGAACUGCUACACAGGUGCUGCAUGGCUGUCGUCAGCUCGUGUCGUGAGAUGUUGGGUUAAGUCCCGCAACGAGCGCAACCCUCGUGUUCUGUUGCCACCCGGAGUUAAAUCCGGAGCACUCUGGACAGACUGCCUGGUUUCAACUAGGAGGAAGGUGGGGAUGACGUCAAGUCAGUAUGGCCCUUACGGCCAGGGCUGCACACGUACUACAAUGCCUGAUAUAAUGGGAAGCAAGACCGCGAGGUGGAGCAAAUCCUCAAAAUCAGGCCCAGUUCAGAUUGUAGGCUGCAACUCGCCUACAUGAAGGAGGAAUCGCUAGUAAUGCCGUAUCAGCUACGACGGCGUGAAUACGUUCCCAGGCCUUGUACACACCGCCCGUCACAUCAUGAAAGUCGAUUGUACCCGAAGUCGCUGCGUUAACCGCAAGGAGACAGGUGCCGAAGGUAUGGUUGGUAAUUGGGAUGAAGUCGUAACAAGGUAGCCGUAGGGGAACCUGUGGCUG
RNAcentral lists this ribosomal RNA (760 nucleotides) under marine metagenome. Its description in RNAcentral is "bacterial SSU rRNA". It matches the Rfam family "Bacterial small subunit ribosomal RNA", at positions 766 to 1520 of the family's 1533-position model. The record is from RNAcentral.